GCUGGGCAUGGUGGUGUGUGCCUGUAGUCCCACCUACUCAGGAGACUGAGGGUGGAGGAUCACUUGAGUCCAGUUCUGGGCUGUAGUGCACUAUGCAGAUUGGGUGUCCCCACUAAGUUUGGCAUCAGUAUGGUGACCUCCCGGGAGCGGGAGACCACCAGGUUGCCUAAGGAGGGGUGAACUGGCUCAGGUCGGAAACGGAACAGGUCAAAACUCUGGUGCUGAACAGUAGUGGGAUCGUGCCUUUGAAUAGCCACUGCACUCCAGCCUGGGCAACAUAGUGAGAUCCCAUCUCUU
Molecule: signal recognition particle RNA, 297 nt
Filed under: Callithrix jacchus (white-tufted-ear marmoset)
Lineage: Eukaryota; Metazoa; Chordata; Mammalia; Primates; Cebidae
Description: Metazoan signal recognition particle RNA (ENSCJAG00000085912.1)
Rfam family: Metazoan signal recognition particle RNA
About the family: The signal recognition particle (SRP) is a universally conserved ribonucleoprotein.
Source: Rfam by way of RNAcentral